Molecule: long non-coding RNA, 1422 nt
Organism: Felis catus (domestic cat)
Lineage: Eukaryota; Metazoa; Chordata; Mammalia; Carnivora; Felidae
Exons: 4
Source: RefSeq, a predicted model, not a curated record
UAUCUUUAUUUUAUUUCUAUUUUAUUUUUAUUUUACAGAUGUAGAAAUGGAGGCCCAAAGAAAUUAACUAGGUUGUUGGUUAUAUAAUUAUUUAAUGGGACUCUAGAUCUUGAUGUCAGGCCUUCUGAUUGUUAAAGUCACUUUAUUCCCAGAUGACUUUGCCCAAUGUUUGGUGUUGAGUUUCCAUCAAGAGAAUAAAACUCAGUUAUUGGUCUGUCUUCUCAUCCACAGCAGAGUUCAAAAUGAGCACAGCUUCCCCACAGAGCAGGUGCUAUGAGCAGUGUAGCAGAUCAUCUGCCUCAAGAUCUUCUUCCUACUACCAGAUCUCCUUUUACAUGGCUAGGAAAAUGGAUGUUUGCAGCCACAGAUUCAGAUUCUCCCGGUGACUACAUGUAAAUAAGUAUAAUUAUACAUAUAAAGGUAAAUAUAAAUGUAUAACAUAGCUUAUGAUAUGUCUUAAUUCAUUUGAUAUUCAUAAUAACCCAUGAAGGGUAGAUACUAUUUUUUUAAUCUCAAUUUUGGAUGUGAGGAAAAUGUAACACAGAGAAGUUUAAGUAACUUUCAGAAGGUCACAUAACUCUGUGGUGGCAGGGCCAGGUUCCCAACCCAAAGGGAUCUCAGUCAGAAUCCAUUUUCUUUACUACUUCACUCUAGUAGACCCGUGUCUAACAAGAUGCACAGAAGUCUGUGAUUACCCAGCAGUAUUUUUGUCCCUGCUCUCAAACUGAUCUUUGUAUGUCUUGAGAUGGAGGAAUACUUCACCAGGAAAAACAGAUACUGAAUGCACAAAAACAAGGGUGUUGUUUUGAUAUUGUUCACGGGCCUCUGGAUCACAUGCUUGUGCUCUGGGUUAGGGAGGGACUGGAGGGCUGGUUGGGGGGCUGACACUCCCACCGUAUUUAGCUGAUGAGUGAAAGAUAAUUUCUUAAAGGCAAAGUAGUUUUCUUUUGACAAAAAUGGAUACCUUGAAUUCUGUGUGAUAAAAAUAAUAUUUAUUAUUUUCGCUUGCUUAACAUACGACAUACCUAUGGUCUUUAAACUUGUCCCCAAAUUCUUUGACACUCCUCCUUUAAAACCUUCUCUUCAUCUGGAGUGUGGACUUUGUGACUCACAUCCAAUGACUAGAAUGUGCUAAAAGUGAAGGUAUACAUGACUUUUGGAGGUCAUAAGAGGCAUUACAGCUCCCUCUUCUCAUUACCUCUUGGAUCACUCACUCUGAGGGAAACUGGCUGUCAUGUUGUGAGGACAGUCAAGCAAUCUCCCAGACAGAUCCAUGUGGAAAGAUACUAGGACCUCCUGCCAACUACUAAAAUGACUUGAUGGUCAGUUCUCUUUAAAGAGAUUAAAAAAAAAGAAAAACUUUGAUUUAUAUUUACCAACAUGUUUAUCAUUUUUUAAAUUAAGUUUUUAAUUUCAAUUCCA